This is a long non-coding RNA of Ictalurus punctatus (channel catfish), 2145 nucleotides long. RefSeq lists it as uncharacterized. The transcript is spliced from 2 exons. NCBI's taxonomy places the organism in Eukaryota, Metazoa, Chordata, Actinopteri, Siluriformes, Ictaluridae. The record is from RefSeq and is a predicted model, not a curated record.
AAUGCAGCCUCACACUUAACUGUGAAACCAGAAAGUGCAAACACAUAUGUGCUGAAGACUUUCCAAAUGAAAAAAUGUCAUCUAUGUAUCGUUUAUAGAAGACUCUAUUGUUGUUGAAGAUGUGUUCCUGUUACAAAAAUGACAUAAAUCAACAUGUAUAGUCAGGAGCAAAUGCCGCUCCCUUUGCUGUACCCUCCUUCUGUAAACAGAACUCCUUAUUGUACAUGAAGAAGUUCAGUACGAGUUCUGGCAUAUCAACUAGAAAAUGUGUGGGAGGUGGAGGAUCACUCCUUGAAUUAAAAAAAUGUCUCCGAGCUGUAAGGCCCUCAGAAUCUGUGGGGUAUUCAGAUGAAGUCAGACCCUCUGAUGAAGAUCCAGAGGUGUGGCAGUGGGGGCGUGGUGAAGCAUCAGCUGAGGAUGGAGAGGAUGCUGGUUGAAUUGUCAGGUAACCUGCAAUGAUGAUUCUCGGAUAUGUGUAAGCACCACCAGUGUAUUUGUAUGUGCUUUGUUUGUUGCUUGUUCUUGCAGGAAUGCUGUGGGAAAGAGAGAGAGAUCACCUCUUAACACUCGCACAGAGCAGUAUCUGAUUGAAGUACAGGUGAAGUUGAACUGGAAAGCAGCGAGGCUGAGACUGGGCGUUUUUCUCUCUGGUUGUGCUGGACUUUAGUUAAAGAGAGUGUGCACUGAACAGCAUGCAGGGAAAAAAUAGCAAUAAAGUGAGCCUGAAGCUCAGAGGAAAGUCUGUAAAAAUUUCCAUGAUCCAUGGCGAUGUGCAUGCAAGACACUGUGGCUUGUAGGCCUCUCCAGGUCUUGGGACGACCAAGUGUUGGGAAAAGCUGAACAAUGGACUCAUCAGAGAAGAUGACCUUACUCCAGGAGCUCUGUGGAGUUGAAGGGGAGAAUCCGGUAUUGCCAGUGGCCACUGGAUGUCCUAAAUGCUGUUUUGAGCUUCUGGGGCUAGAACUACCUUCCAGUACCCUUUUGUGAAGUCCAGGGUGGAGAUGAAGCGGGCUCUCCCCAGGUGAUCCACCAGGUUAUCCACCCGUGGAAGGGGGUAGCCUUCGAACUUCAAAACCUAGUUCAGUUUCCGGGAGUCAUUGUCAUUCCGGGAGUCAUAAUGUGGUAUACUUGUGCAUUUCUUCGCUUACCCAGCUGUUGCAGAUGGUAGUUCACUGGACCCACCUGGUCUAGGACUGUGUACAGGCCUUGCAAGUGGGCCAUGGAAUUUGCAGUUGGAGCUGGCCAGCAGGAGGAGCCAUAAAAUAUGGCCAUAAAAAUAAAAAGGCGACCUCCUGGUGAAGGUGGUGGUGGGUCCGUAGUCUGACCUGAGCACAGCACAGGGUGUGAAGCGGGAAUACACUGUGGACAGGAUGGCUUUCCUCACAUUUGUACACUCAAUAAGAUAAAUAUAUUAAUCCUGAAGGACUUUUUGGGCCAACUUGCUCAAGACAGCAGAAAUAAAAAUAUUAAAUAGAUUUGGUAAAAAAAUGUAAACAUGUAAUGGGUAUUAAAUUUCACACCAGUGAAAGGUGUGGAAUAUACUGGGAGGAAACCAGAGAACCCAGAGGAAAUCCACAUGGGCAAAGGCAGAACAUGUGAAACUCCACACAGGCAGUAACCCAAGCUCAGGAUCAAACCCAGGACCCUGGAGCUCUGAGGAGACGACACUACCCACUGCCACCGUCUUCUAUAUUUGGCUAUGUAUUUCAGUACAGUAGAAAAAAACAAGGACUUACACCUGAACCACUUAGGUUUUUUUAAAUAUUUCACAAAAAACAAGAGCUUUAUAGCUGAGCUUUAAUUUAGAGGUAUAUAUUUUCUAGAAUAUAUAAAAUCCACUUUUAUAUAUUACAGAAUACAUGCAACCAGAAAAGUAAAAGAAAAUGAUAUUAAUUUGAAUUCAACAACAGAGCAUAUAUACUGUAGAUAUAAUUAAGUGAUUGUGUAGUAACAAGCAGUUCAAACCCAGAUAAUGUCCAGAAUCUGUCCUUUUCUACACAAGAACAUUGCUGAAGACUUCUCUGAUUAACUAGAUGUACAUUACCUGUAGUGCUUAUUGUUACUUCCAAAUGAAUACAUGUCUUUAUUAAGAUGUGUAAAUGAGGAAAAGAUGUGGUUCAGCACUAACAGGCCCAACUUUACUGG